UACGUAGGGUGCAAGCGUUGUCCGGAAUUAUUGGGCGUAAAGAGCUCGUAGGCGGCCUGUUACGUCUGCUGUGAAAUCCCGGGGCUUAACCCCGGGCGUGCAGUGGAUACGGGCAGGCUGGAGGCAGACAGGGGAGAACGGAAUUCCCGGUGUAGCGGUGAAAUGCGCAGAUAUCGGGAGGAACACCGGUGGCGAAGGCGGUUCUCUGGGCCUGUACUGACGCUGAGGAGCGAAAGCGUGGGGAGCGAACAGG
This 253-nucleotide ribosomal RNA is filed under the name uncultured bacterium. RNAcentral describes it as "partial 16S ribosomal RNA". It matches the Rfam family "Bacterial small subunit ribosomal RNA", at positions 524 to 776 of the family's 1533-position model. The record is from RNAcentral.